UGGGGAAUUUUCCGCAAUGGGCGCAAGCCUGACGGAGCAACGCCGCGUGAGGGAGGAAGGCCUGUGGGUUGUAAACCUCUUUUCUCUAGGAAGAAGGACUGACGGUACUAGAGGAAUCAGCAUCGGCUUACUCCGUGCCAGCAGCCGCGGUAAGACGGAGGGCGCUAGCGUUGUUCGGAAUCAGUGGGCGUAAAGGGCGCGUAGGGGGCUGUUUAAGUCGAGGGUGAAAGCCCGGGGCUCAACCCCGGAACGGCCUUCGAGACUGGGCAGCUCGAGACCGGAAGAGGAGGGUGGAAUACCCGGUGUAGAGGUGAAAUUCGUAGAUAUUGGGUGGAACACCAGUGGCGAAAGCGGCUCUCUGGUCCGGAUCUGACGCUGAGGCGCGAAAGCGUGGGGAGCAAACAGGAUUAGAUACC
Molecule: ribosomal RNA, 416 nt
Filed under: uncultured prokaryote
Description: bacterial SSU rRNA
Rfam family: Bacterial small subunit ribosomal RNA
Source: RNAcentral